This 88-nucleotide unclassified non-coding RNA is filed under the name Pseudomonas cedrina. Lineage: Bacteria; Pseudomonadati; Pseudomonadota; Gammaproteobacteria; Pseudomonadales; Pseudomonadaceae. The record is from RNAcentral.
UGUGGGAGCUGGGCUUGCCCGCGAUGCAGGCACCUCGGUCUUUCAGUUAAACCGAAGUGAUGCCAUCGCAGGCAAGCCAGCUCCCACA